Molecule: transfer RNA, 95 nt
Filed under: Micromonospora sonchi
Lineage: Bacteria; Bacillati; Actinomycetota; Actinomycetes; Micromonosporales; Micromonosporaceae
Description: tRNA-Arg
Source: RNAcentral
GGUGCGGAUGGUGGACGGACCCGAUGCGCCGUUGCGGGCGGCGGUGGUCGGCACCGGCCUGAUCGGCGGGUCGAUCCUGCUUCGGUUGCGCGCCG